GACGAACGCCUGGCGGCAGGCUUAACACAUGCAAGUCGCACGAGAACGCCCGGGCUUUGCCGGGGCAAGUACAGUGGCGGACGGGUGCGUAUCGCGUAGAUAACCUACCCUCAGGCGCGGGACAAUCGCGGGAAACCGCGGCUAAUACCGCACGUCGUCUGGCCCCCGCAUGGGGGCUAGAUGAAAGCUCGGGUUCGCCCGAGCGCCUUCGGAUGGGUCUGCGUUGGAUUAGCUUGUUGGUGAGGCAACGGCUCACCAAGGCAACGAUCCAUAGCUGGUCUGAGAGGACGAUCAGUCACACUGGGACUGAGACACGGCCCAGACUCCUACGGGAGGCAGCAGUGGGGAAUCUUGCACAAUGGGGUCACCCCUGAUGCAGCCAUGCCGCGUGGAGGAAGACACCCCUAUGGGGCGUAAACUCCUUUUCUGGACGAAGAAACCCCUGUAGGUUCAGGGCGCGACGGUAGUUCAGGAAUAAGCACCGGCUAACUCCGUGCCAGCAGCCGCGGUAAUACGGAGGGUGCAAGCGUUGUCCGGAAUCACUGGGUGUAAAGGGUGCGCAGGCGGGGCAGCAAGUCGGAUGUGAAACCCCAUGGCUCAACCAUGGAGGUGCAUUCGAAACUGUUGCUCUUGAGUCCCGGAGAGGUUGCCGGAAUUCGUGGUGUAGCGGUGAAAUGCGUAGAUAUCACGAGGAACACCAGAGGCGAAAGCGGGCAACUGGACGGGUACUGACGCUCAGGCACGAAAGCGUGGGGAGCAAACAGGAUUAGAUACCCUGGUAGUCCACGCCGUAAACGAUGAACGUUCGCCGUUAUCCCGCCUGAGGGAUAGUGGCUAAGCUAACGCGUUAAGCGUUCCACCUGGGGAGUACGAUCGCAAGGUUGAAACUCAAAGGAAUUGACGGGGGCCCGCACAAGCGGUGGAGCAUGUGGCUCAAUUCGAUGCAACGCGAAGAACCUUACCUAGGCUCGAACGCUAGAGGACCGCUUCUGAAAGGGAGCUUCCCCUUUGGGGCCUGUAGCGAGGUACUGCAUGGCUGUCGUCAGCUCGUGUCGUGAGAUGUUGGGUUAAGUCCCGCAACGAGCGUAACCCUUGUCGUUAGUUACCAGCGGGUAGUGCCGGGGACUCUAGCGAGACCGCCUGCGCAAGCAGUGAGGAAGGUGGGGAUGACGUCAAGUCAUCAUGGUCCUUACGCCUAGGGCUGCACACGUGCUACAAUGGUCGGGACAACGAGCAGCCACCUCGCGAGAGGGAGCGAAUCUCUCAAACCCGAUCGUAGUUCGGAUUGGAGUCUGCAACUCGACUCCAUGAAGCAGGAAUCGCUAGUAAUCGCGGAUCAGCAAUGCCGCGGUGAAUUCGUUCCCGGGCCUUGUACACACCGCCCGUCAAGCCAUGGAAGCUAAGAGCACCCGAAGUCCGUGAACUCGGCUCCAGCAUUGCGCUGAGAGAGAGCGGCCGAAAGGUGAAGCUUAGUAACUAGGCU
RNAcentral lists this ribosomal RNA (1483 nucleotides) under uncultured bacterium. Its description in RNAcentral is "bacterial SSU rRNA". It matches the Rfam family "Bacterial small subunit ribosomal RNA". The record is from RNAcentral.